AUUGAACGCUGGCGGAAUGCCUAACACAUGCAAGUCGAGCGGAGUAGCAAUACUCAGCGGCGGACGGGUGAGGAAUACAUAGGAACUUGCCUUUAGGUGGGGGAUAGCUUGGGGGAAACUCAAGGUAAUACCGCAUGAUCUCGCAAGAGCAAAGGGGCGCAAGUCUCGCCUUUAGAGAGGCCUGUGUCUGAUUAGCUAGUUGGCGGUGUAAUAGACCACCAAGGCGACGAUCAGUAACUGGUCUGAGAGGACGAUCAGUCACACCGGAACUGAGACACGGUCCGGACUCCUACGGGAGGCAGCAGUGGGGAAUAUUGGACAAUGGGCGAAAGCCUGAUCCAGCAAUUCCGCGUGUGUGAAGAAGGCCUUCGGGUUGUAAAGCACUUUAGUGAGGGAAGAAACAGCUUGGCCACACCAAGCCUUGACGGUACCUCAAGAAUAAGCACCGGCUAACUCUGUGCCAGCCGCCGCCGUAA
RNAcentral lists this ribosomal RNA (476 nucleotides) under uncultured bacterium. RNAcentral describes it as "partial 16S ribosomal RNA". It matches the Rfam family "Bacterial small subunit ribosomal RNA", at positions 30 to 523 of the family's 1533-position model. The record is from RNAcentral.